GACGAACGCUGGCGGCGUGCUUAACACAUGCAAGUCGAACGCUGAAGCACCAGCUUGCUGGUGUGGAUGAGUGGCGAACGGGUGAGUAAUACGUGAGUAACCUGCCCUUGACUCUGGGAUAAGCCCGGGAAACUGGGUCUAAUACUGGAUGCUACAUGUCACCGCAUGGUGGUGUGUGGAAAGGGUUUACUGGUCUUGGAUGGGCUCACGGCCUAUCAGCUUGUUGGUGAGGUAAUGGCUCACCAAGGCGACGACGGGUAGCCGGCCUGAGAGGGUGACCGGCCACGCUGGGACUGAGACACGGCCCAGACUCCUACGGGAGGCAGCAGUGGGGAAUAUUGCACAAUGGGCGAAAGCCUGAUGCAGCGACGCCGCGUGAGGGAUGACGGCCUUCGGGUUGUAAACCUCUUUCAGCAGGGAAGAAGCCACAAGUGACGGUACCUGCAGAAGAAGCGCCGGCUAACUACGUGCCAGCCGCCGCGGUAA
Molecule: ribosomal RNA, 486 nt
Filed under: uncultured bacterium
Lineage: Bacteria
Description: partial 16S ribosomal RNA
Rfam family: Bacterial small subunit ribosomal RNA
Source: RNAcentral